AAUGGGGGCAACCCUGAUCCAGCCAUGCCGCGUGAGUGAAGAAGGCCUUCGGGUUGUAAAGCUCUUUCGGCCGGGAAGAAAUCGCAUGGGUGAAUACCCUGUGUGGAUGACGGUACCGGAACAAGAAGCACCGGCUAACUACGUGCCAGCAGCCGCGGUAAUACGUAGGGUGCGAGCGUUAAUCGGAAUUACUGGGCGUAAAGCGUGCGCAGGCGGUUUGGUAAGACAGGCGUGAAAUCCCCGGGCUUAACCUGGGAAUGGCGCUUGUGACUGUGUGGCUUGAGUUCGGCAGAGGGGGUGGAAUUCCACGUGUAGCAGUGAAAUGCGUAGAGAUGUGGAGGAACACCGAUGGCGAAGGCAGCCCCCUGGGCCGUGACUGACGCUCAUGCACGAAAGCGUGGGGAGCAAA
This 409-nucleotide ribosomal RNA is filed under the name uncultured bacterium. Its description in RNAcentral is "bacterial SSU rRNA". It matches the Rfam family "Bacterial small subunit ribosomal RNA", at positions 370 to 772 of the family's 1533-position model. The record is from RNAcentral.